UACGUAGGGUGCGAGCGUUAAUCGGAAUUACUGGGCGUAAAGCGUGCGCAGGCGGCGCGUUAAGACAGGUGUGAAAGCCCCGAGCUAAACUUGGGAAUUGCGCUUGUGACUGGCGUGCUGGAGUGUGGCAGAGGGAGGUGGAAUUCCACGUGUAGCAGUGAAAUGCGUAGAGAUGUGGAGGAACACCGAUGGCGAAGGCAGCCUCCUGGGCCAGCACUGACGCUCAUGCACGAAAGCGUGGGGAGCAAACAGG
RNAcentral lists this ribosomal RNA (253 nucleotides) under uncultured bacterium. RNAcentral's name for it is "partial 16S ribosomal RNA". It matches the Rfam family "Bacterial small subunit ribosomal RNA", at positions 524 to 776 of the family's 1533-position model. The record is from RNAcentral.